This 425-nucleotide ribosomal RNA is filed under the name uncultured bacterium. Its description in RNAcentral is "bacterial SSU rRNA". It matches the Rfam family "Bacterial small subunit ribosomal RNA", at positions 356 to 773 of the family's 1533-position model. The record is from RNAcentral.
GGGGAAUUUUGGACAAUGGGGGCAACCCUGAUCCAGCAAUGCCGCGUGUGUGAAGAAGGCCUUCGGGUUGUAAAGCACUUUUGUCCGGGAAGAAAUCGCACCUGAUAAUACCGGGUGUGGAUGACGGUACCGGAAGAAUAAGGACCGGCUAACUACGUGCCAGCAGCCGCGGUAAUACGUAGGGUCCAAGCGUUAAUCGGAAUUACUGGGCGUAAAGCGUGCGCAGGCGGUUGUGCAAGACCGAUGUGAAAUCCCCGGGCUUAACCUGGGAAUUGCAUUGGUGACUGCACGGCUAGAGUGUGUCAGAGGGGGGUAGAAUUCCACGUGUAGCAGUGAAAUGCGUAGAGAUGUGGAGGAAUACCGAUGGCGAAGGCAGCCCCCUGGGAUAACACUGACGCUCAUGCACGAAAGCGUGGGGAGCAAAC